AGAGUUUGAUCCUGGCUCAGGACGAACGCUGGCGGCGUGCUUAACACAUGCAAGUCGAACGAUGAAAUCUCUUCGGAGAUGGAUUAGUGGCGAACGGGUGAGUAACACGUGGGCAAUCUGCCCUGCACUCUGGGACAAGCCCUGGAAACGGGGUCUAAUACCGGAUGAUACUUCUGCUCGCAUGGGUGGGGGUUGAAAGCUCCGGCGGUGCAGGAUGAGCCCGCGGCCUAUCAGCUUGUUGGUGAGGUAGUGGCUCACCAAGGCGACGACGGGUAGCCGGCCUGAGAGGGCGACCGGCCACACUGGGACUGAGACACGGCCCAGACUCCUACGGGAGGCAGCAGUGGGGAAUAUUGCACAAUGGGCGAAAGCCUGAUGCAGCGACGCCGCGUGAGGGAUGACGGCCUUCGGGUUGUAAACCUCUUUCAGCAGGGAAGAAGCGCAAGUGACGGUACCUGCAGAAGAAGCGCCGGCUAACUACGUGCCAGCAGCCGCGGUAAUACGUAGGGCGCAAGCGUUGUCCGGAAUUAUUGGGCGUAAAGAGCUCGUAGGCGGUCUGUCGCGUCGGAUGUGAAAGCCCGGGGCUUAACCCCGGGUCUGCAUUCGAUACGGGCAGACUAGAGUGUGGUAGGGGAGAUCGGAAUUCCUGGUGUAGCGGUGAAAUGCGCAGAUAUCAGGAGGAACACCGGUGGCGAAGGCGGAUCUCUGGGCCAUUACUGACGCUGAGGAGCGAAAGCGUGGGGAGCGAACAGGAUUAGAUACCCUGGUAGUCCACGCCGUAAACGGUGGGAACUAGGUGUUGGCGACAUUCCACGUCGUCGGUGCCGCAGCUAACGCAUUAAGUUCCCCGCCUGGGGAGUACGGCCGCAAGGUAAAACUCAAAGGAAUUGACGG
RNAcentral lists this ribosomal RNA (894 nucleotides) under Streptomyces sp. C1R19_pA. RNAcentral's name for it is "bacterial SSU rRNA". It matches the Rfam family "Bacterial small subunit ribosomal RNA", at positions 8 to 916 of the family's 1533-position model. The record is from RNAcentral. Lineage: Bacteria; Bacillati; Actinomycetota; Actinomycetes; Kitasatosporales; Streptomycetaceae.